UUUACAAACUAGAGACCCUCCCUACAUGAUUCACCCAUGCGCCGAAUAUAUAAAAACCCUAAGUCACAAAAACGACGCCGUUUUACCUUAUAUUUAUACCAUAUUAAGGGAUUUUGAAACCAUAUUUUCAUUUGAUUCAUCCCUCAGCCGUGCUCCUCUCCUCAACUUCUCUCUUCCCCGAUAGCAAACCGAGAACCACAGAGCCUAAAGCUCCAACAGUCGCCGAGAAACUCUAAACCAAAAACUCCGACGUCAACUAGCACGGACGAGAAGCCUAAACAAACUUCCGUGUCGACCUACAAGCCCCUCGAUUUCUCUCUAGCCCGAAACUUCUGGAACACCUAAACUAUAUCUCUACUCCCGUGAAGACCAAAACAUAACAAAGGUUUCCCGAGCGACCUUCAAUGCCUCGGUCUUAAACCCGGUGGCUCAAAUCGGAUUAGAGGGGGGGGGAACUCACAGCAUUCUUACCUACCUCCAAUGAUGGUGAUACUUUGGCAAAGGGACCCCAAUCGUAGAUGAGUGGAGGUGGCAGCAGCACAUGGGAGCUAGUGG
Long non-coding RNA from Hibiscus syriacus, 555 nucleotides. RefSeq lists it as uncharacterized. The transcript is spliced from 4 exons. NCBI's taxonomy places the organism in Eukaryota, Viridiplantae, Streptophyta, Magnoliopsida, Malvales, Malvaceae. The record is from RefSeq and is a predicted model, not a curated record.